Molecule: microRNA precursor, 103 nt
Filed under: Marmota monax (woodchuck)
Lineage: Eukaryota; Metazoa; Chordata; Mammalia; Rodentia; Sciuridae
Source: RNAcentral
AUGGGAAUAGCUGGGUCAAAUGGGGUCUCCAUUCCCAGCUUUCCAAGAAAUCUCCAUACUGCUUUCCAAAUUGGCUGCACCAAUCUGCAGUCCCACCAGCAAU